AAUACUUGCACAACCAACUUUACAAGGUCCUUGUGAGGAAAAGUACUUUAUAAACCUAAUUGGGAAUAAUAAAAUAUUUCUGGACCUGUAUCCCUUUGGAGAAACCCUUCACCUUUUGAAAACAUCUAAGGAAGUUGGAGAACAGAAUUAUUUACUUCCACACUUGAAGGAAGAAGAAAGGCAAAAUCCUCACUCUGGGAUAGAUUUAUUUCUCAUCUGGGCUGUUUUAUCACCAUGCCUGAGAGCCACCCAAAUCCCAGAAGACAAUUGCCCCUGUAGACCACUGUGUUCUGAGAUAAGAGAAACUGCCUCAAAGCUCAGAUUGAUUUGGAGUAAAAAGGACAGAAGAAAGGAAACAUUGACAACAAAAAUCUGACAACUUCUGGCAAUCCAAGGGAGAGAGAAGGGCUUGAUCCAUUCUCCUUCCCAGAAUACCAUCUCUGAGAAAAGGAACUGGGAAAUCCACUAACACUAAGGUAUAAAUUACAAAUAAGGCUUAAUAGUUUUCCCUUCUCCAGGGGAUUUGCAGUUUUUAACAGACCUUAAAUAACUUAAGAAGGCUUAAGGCAAAUGAAUAAAGCUCUAAUUUCAGAAUUUCA
RNAcentral lists this long non-coding RNA (599 nucleotides) under Monodelphis domestica (gray short-tailed opossum). Its description in RNAcentral is "lncRNA (ENSMODG00000048970.1)". Lineage: Eukaryota; Metazoa; Chordata; Mammalia; Didelphimorphia; Didelphidae. The record is from RNAcentral.